AUACGUAGGGUGCGAGCGUUGUCCGGAAUUACUGGGCGUAAAGAGCUCGUAGGUGGUUUGUCGCGUCGUCUGUGAAAUUCCGGGGCUUAACUCCGGGCGUGCAGGCGAUACGGGCAUAACUUGAGUACUGUAGGGGAGACUGGAAUUCCUGGUAUAGCGGUGAAAUGCGCAGAUAUCAGGAGGAACACCGGUGGCGAAGGCGGGUCUCUGGGCAGUAACUGACGCUGAGGAGCGAAAGCAUGCGUAGCGAACAGGAUUAGAUACCCUGGUAGUCUAUGCCGUAAACGGUGGGCGCUAGGUGUAGGGGUCUUCCACGACUUCUGUGCCGUAGCUAACGCAUUAAGCGCCCCGCCUGGGGAGUACGGCCGCAAGGCUAAAACUCAAAUGAAUUGACGGGG
Molecule: ribosomal RNA, 398 nt
Filed under: uncultured bacterium
Lineage: Bacteria
Description: partial 16S ribosomal RNA
Rfam family: Bacterial small subunit ribosomal RNA
Source: RNAcentral